UCCGAUAUGGUGUAAUGGCUAACAUUGCCGCCUCUCAUCCCGUAUAUGUCGUUGCGACCGGUGGCGCAGUCCCGGGAUAUGCGCCCCCCGGCCACAAUGACAUUGGAUCGCGGCAGCUCGGGGUUCGAUUCCCCGUGUCGGAA
Lactifluus volemus is the source of this 143-nucleotide non-coding RNA. The record is from the annotation of a GenBank genome assembly. NCBI's taxonomy places the organism in Eukaryota, Fungi, Basidiomycota, Agaricomycetes, Russulales, Russulaceae.